UACAGAGACUGCAAGCGUUAUUCGGAUUCACUGGGCGUAAAGGGUGCGCAGGCGGCCGUGUGUGUCAGGUGUGAAAGCCCGGAGCUUAACUCCGGAAUUGCGCCUGAAACUACAUGGCUAGAGCAUUGGAGAGGGAAGUGGAAUUCCCGGUGUAGCGGUGAAAUGCGUAGAGAUCGGGAGGAACACCAGAGGCGAAGGCGGCUAGCUGGACAGUAACUGACACUCAACUACGAAAGCGUGGGGAGCAAACAGG
Molecule: ribosomal RNA, 253 nt
Filed under: uncultured bacterium
Lineage: Bacteria
Description: partial 16S ribosomal RNA
Rfam family: Bacterial small subunit ribosomal RNA
Source: RNAcentral